Oncorhynchus keta (chum salmon) is the source of this 2562-nucleotide long non-coding RNA. RefSeq lists it as uncharacterized. The record is from RefSeq and is a predicted model, not a curated record. NCBI's taxonomy places the organism in Eukaryota, Metazoa, Chordata, Actinopteri, Salmoniformes, Salmonidae. The transcript has 4 exons.
AAGGAUAUGUAGAAGGGUGAGCCGGUUAAGGAUCGAUUCAGACAAGGUGGUAAAAUUUGUACGACAAGCGACAGUUUAUUCAGAGUGAGAAUAUCUGGUACAAGUAAAUACGGCCCUUCCGUUAGCCCAUCAGACCAGCAGGAAAAGAGAGCGAGUUAACCGCUACACACACAAUUUAUACAGAACAGUUCAGCUGGGGUGUAGUCUGUAGUCUUCCGCCAUUGGCUCAGUUGUCUGUCCGUCAUCGUAGAAUCCUCUUCGGGCACACAGUGUUCGACUAAAAGGGAGAUUAUGUGUGUAAUGUGGGAGCUAUCCUGUAGGGGACCCCACAGGCUUUACUGUGAGUUGUAGCCAUGUAUUUAGCAGUAGGCUGGUCACUUGCAUAAGAAAUAGCAAUUCUUUACGAUUGCCCCCCCUUUUACACUGCUGAUACUCUUGUUUAUUAUCUAUGCAUAGUCACAAACUCUACUUACAUGUACAUAUUACUUAAAUUACCUCAACUAACCUGUACCCUCACAUAUUAACUGUACCGCUACCCCCUGUAGCCUCUUAUUUUACUGCUGCUCUUAUUUGAACUUUUACGUAACACUAGUCUAAAGAAGGCCAGUUGAAUUGCUUCUUUAAUCAGUACAACAGUUUUCAGCUGUGCUAACAAUUGCAAAGGGGUUUUCUAAUGAUCAAUUAGCAUUUUAAAAUUAUCUUGGAUUAACUAACACAACGUGCCAUUGGAACACAGGAGUGAUGGUUGCUGAUAAUGGACCUCUGUAUGCCUAUGUUGAUAUUCAUUUUUUUUUUAAAGUCAGCCGUUUCCAGCUACAAUAGUCAUUUACGACGUUAACAAUGUCUACACUGUAGAGUGACCUCUCUUAACGAUGGAAAUGCAUGUCCUCAAUGAUGGAAGGCAGGCGUCUUUACUCAUUAUCGUCUCUCACUUUCGUCUCCCAUUAUCUAGUCACCAAGUCCUGCAGUUAGAACUAGCCCUGCCGUCACUAUUAAGACCCCGUAUGCAUAGGGCUGCGACGUUUACCGUGUAACUGACGGUUAGAGAUGAAGACCAUGAAAAUAACAUUUAAAAAAACAUUUUAAAUAGGCCUACAUUCAUUUUAGGAUUUAUUUUUAUUUACUUUAAUUUUAUGAAGAUAAACUUGACCUAAUAGCGGGAGUAAUUACUAACGAUUAUAAAGCAAUUGUUUUUCUAACUUUGUCUACUAAAAUGUUCUACAUCUCUUUCCAAUUGACCUUUGAUGCUUGACCAGCUAAUCCCUAGACGCGCAGUUCCUCACAGUAUUUGAAAAGCAUUUCCAACACUCGCCCCCUCGAUAAGCGACAUCGCUGAUAAAAAGAACGUAUGUCAAUGCCACGGCCAUCGAAGGACCGCAGCAGCAGGGUCUGUGACAUUAUCCGAGUAAACCCAUCGGACUUUGCUUGAAUGGUUUUGUGCAUCGAAAUAGGACCUGUAUUAUAACAAAUUAUAUGCAUAAAAGCCAACAGACAAAGACCAGGUUACAUUUUACCAACCCCUCAGCCUGAACAAUCAGCAUCCUCACAAGCUCCAUCCCUACCUGAUGUGUACUGGCCUUCCAUGCGCUAUCGACCUCCUAUGCACUCUGAAUCUCUCAUGAACUCUCAACCUACUGUGCAGUUUCACCAAGAACCACAAUUACUACCCAGAGCCGCAAGACUAUUCCAAAUAAUACCAGCCUCCUCCACCCAGAGAUUUAUCCUACCCCGUCCUAUGCAAGUCCUACACCAAGUCAGCCUCGUUACCCAGCGCACAAACCUUGAAACGUCCCCACCACUCAAACCCAGAACGUCCCGAACCCAGAGGGACCCCAGAUGAACCCCCCAGUGUGCUACCCUUCAGCAGUAUGGUAGACCCCAACCAGUCCCAGUAGUACCAAUUCACACCCCACAAGUGGCUCCGGAGAGACCCAGGUAUUCAGCCUGGAUAGAGGAACCUUCCUUCCCCAACUUCAUUCACGAAGAUCCUGAAGAGUUUGCAACAUUAAGAAUGGCCCUCACAAACCUACUGCCAGAGGAGGAAAUGGAGAAGUACAAGUACCACAUCCUCUUGGAUCACCUGCACUUGGUCUCUGCCUGCCAUAUAGGCCUGGCUUAUGCUAAUGAACCCCAGCCAUACUCCUUAGCACUGGACCAGAAGUAUGGCCAACCCCACCACCUAGUCCUGAGAGAGAUAGCAACCAUUCAGAAUCUGCCCAGGUGAUUCAAGCAAGAGCUUUCAGUAGCUUUGCCCUUCGAAUCCGCUCACUGGUGGGGAUGCUCCAGUCAUUCCAGCACAGCGAGGGAUCUGCUGAGCUGGCCUGCUCCUCCCAUGUUUAGCAACUCCUCAGUAAGUUAUCAGGAGAACAAGUUGCCAGUUAUGCCCAUCAUGAACACAGAACCAGGCCAGGUGUCCAGUACAAUCUGAAGGACUUCUCCUUGUGGCUGCAAGAUGAAGCAGAGUGUCAGGCAGUUGCUGUCCAGGUUGAUGAGCUCCACCAAGCACCAUCUUGGACACAAAGUAAAAGGUCGCCAGACAUUCUCCAAGCCCUCAUCUAAUAC